Molecule: unclassified non-coding RNA, 226 nt
Filed under: uncultured fungus
Lineage: Eukaryota; Fungi
Description: sequence contains ITS1, 5.8S rRNA gene
Rfam family: 5.8S ribosomal RNA (bases 178-226)
Source: RNAcentral
UCUCCGUUGGUGAACCAGCGGAGGGAUCAUUACUGAGUCGUAAAAAACUCCCAACCCAUGUGAACUUACCUUUGUUGCCUCGGCGGGACCUACCUGGUACCUACCCUGUAGCCCGCCGGUGGACAUUUCAACUCUUGUUAUUUUAUGUAAUCUGAGCGUCUUAUUUUAAUAAGUCAAAACUUUCAACAACGGAUCUCUUGGUUCUGGCAUCGAUGAAGAACGCAGC